UUGAGAGCGAUAGAGGAUACAGAGGGAAAGCACUCUGGUCAUCGCACAGCUAGGGUUGCUGGCUCGCCGCCGUUCCGAGCGUACAUACCGACUCCUGCUUACAUUUUAUGCUUCUUCUCUUGGAUUUAGGUCAGAUUUAGGCAGGAUUUGAGCUAAAUAGUAAAUCCUGCCAAACGCCAAAAAAUACAAAGUUAAAUCUCACGGUAAGUCUAAUCUCUACUUCACGGCAUUUUCGCCAUUUUGCCCUAAAUCCCGGAUUUCGUAAAUCUGACCGAAGCCAAAGGGGAGAAAUAUCGUUGCCUUCGCGGCAAGCUCCCGGCGCGACUUCCGAUCCGAAAGGAACAACGCUGUAGGAGGAGGCAUAGAAGUUUGACUCUUUCAGAACUCUACUUCACGCGAAGCAGAACAACAACUAAUAAAUGCAGAAGAGGAAAAGCAAACCCUAGACAAGCAAUGGCAAGCGACUCGUUCGAAGCUCUACCCCAGGCGAAGAGGGAAGCUCUACCUUAGGCGAACGGCAACAAAGAAACCGAAGAGAGAUGCUCCGACAAAAUCACAUCUUUGGUGUAUGCGUGGAGUGCUGGUUAAGGUUUAGAAGAUUGGCUAUUAUAAGGGUGAACUACU
Dendrobium catenatum is the source of this 624-nucleotide long non-coding RNA. RefSeq lists it as uncharacterized. NCBI's taxonomy places the organism in Eukaryota, Viridiplantae, Streptophyta, Magnoliopsida, Asparagales, Orchidaceae. The record is from RefSeq and is a predicted model, not a curated record. The transcript has 3 exons.